Molecule: ribosomal RNA, 253 nt
Filed under: uncultured bacterium
Lineage: Bacteria
Description: partial 16S ribosomal RNA
Rfam family: Bacterial small subunit ribosomal RNA
Source: RNAcentral
UACGAAGGGGGCUAGCGUUGUUCGGAAUUACUGGGCGUAAAGCGCGCGUAGGCGGCUACCUAAGUCGGAUGUGAAAGCCCCUGGCUUAACUGGGGAAGUGCACCCGAAACUGGGUAGCUAGAGUGCAAAAGAGGGUCGCGGAAUUCCCGGUGUAGAGGUGAAAUUCGUAGAUAUCGGGAGGAACACCGGUGGCGAAGGCGGCGACCUGGGUUGACACUGACGCUGAGGCGCGAAAGCGUGGGGAGCAAACAGG